UUCGCGGUGCAAUAAUAUUCCAAUCUAAAUGAGUUUUCAUCAACACACAAAUGGUUCAGGAUAUCUUGUGGAUUGAUCUACAGCUGUGGUGAAUAAGAAAAACGCAUCUUCAAAGUGUUUAUAAAAUUCACUUUCGUUUUGAUCGCAAAAGAUCGUAUAGCGUAUCAAAAUAUUCAUAAAUAUUAAGUGUUGCGUUUUUUAAACAUCCUGUAUAAGUGCGGUCAUUAUAUCGAUGAAAAGCCAUUUCAAGCUAGAAGAUUAAAUUUUAGCAGAUCAAAGAUGUUUGAAGUUGUUAAGAUCGUUGUUAUAUUCCUAGUCUUUGCAGAUAAUGCGGUUGAAUGUUUUAAACUUGGUCAGCUUUGCAGCUCAAAUGGUAGAAAUUUAAUCCGUGAAUGUGACAGUCAGGGUUGUGGUGAUUUCGGAACACCAAGAGGUUCUCGUACACACAAUGGUGUCGACAUAAUUUGAAAACCAGGGAGUUCUGUCAUGACAACAUUUGCUGCGAAGAUCUGACGAAAAUCACGUUCUUAUUCAAACAACAACAAACCAUAUAACAAUGGAUUGUAUAUUCAAGGAAGCGGAGAAGCCGAAGAUAUAAAAUGGAUAUUU
Dendronephthya gigantea is the source of this 609-nucleotide long non-coding RNA. RefSeq lists it as uncharacterized. The record is from RefSeq and is a predicted model, not a curated record. Lineage: Eukaryota; Metazoa; Cnidaria; Anthozoa; Malacalcyonacea; Nephtheidae. The transcript is spliced from 4 exons.